Molecule: transfer RNA, 47 nt
Filed under: Epiperipatus biolleyi
Lineage: Eukaryota; Metazoa; Onychophora; Udeonychophora; Euonychophora; Peripatidae
Description: tRNA-Pro
Source: RNAcentral
UUUGAACUAGUGUAAGUGAUAAUAUAGACUUUGGAAGUCUAAGAUUU